GAUGAACGCUGGCGGUGUGCUUAACACAUGCAAGUCGAACGAAGCAUUUAAGACAGAUUACUUCGGUUUGAAGUCUUUUAUGACUGAGUGGCGGACGGGUGAGUAACGCGUGGGUAACCUGCCUCAUACAGGGGGAUAGCAGCUGGAAACGGCUGGUAAUACCGCAUAAGCGCACAGUACCACAUGGUACAGUGUGAAAAACUCCGGUGGUAUGAGAUGGACCCGCGUCUGAUUAGCUUGUUGGCGGGGUAACGGCCCACCAAGGCGACGAUCAGUAGCCGACCUGAGAGGGUGACCGGCCACAUUGGGACUGAGACACGGCCCAGACUCCUACGGGAGGCAGCAGUGGGGAAUAUUGCACAAUGGAGGAAACUCUGAUGCAGCGACGCCGCGUGAGUGAAGAAGUAGUUCGCUAUGUAAAGCUCUAUCAGCAGGGAAGAUAGUGACGGUACCUGACUAAGAAGCUCCGGCUAAAUACGUG
RNAcentral lists this ribosomal RNA (481 nucleotides) under uncultured bacterium. RNAcentral describes it as "partial 16S ribosomal RNA". It matches the Rfam family "Bacterial small subunit ribosomal RNA", at positions 28 to 507 of the family's 1533-position model. The record is from RNAcentral.